CCUACGGGAGGCAGCAGUGGGGAAUAUUGGGCAAUGGGCGAAAGCCUGACCCAGCAACGCCGCGUGAAGGAAGAAGGCUUUCGGGUUGUAAACUUCUUUUGACAGGGAAGAGCAGAAGACGGUACCUGUCGAAUAAGCCACGGCUAACUACGUGCCAGCAGCCGCGGUAAUACGUAGGUGGCAAGCGUUGUCCGGAUUUACUGGGGGUAAAGGGCGUGUAGCCGGGCUGACAAGUCAGAUGUGAAAUCCGGGGGCUCAACCCCCGAACUGCAUUUGAAACUGUUGGUCUUGAGUAUCGGAGAGGCAGGCGGAAUUCCUAGUGUAGCGGUGAAAUGCGUAGAUAUUAGGAGGAACACCAGUGGCGAAGGCGGCCUGCUGGACGACAACUGACGGUGAGGCGCGAAAGCGUGGGGAGCAAACAGGAUUAGAUACCCGUGUAGUC
Molecule: ribosomal RNA, 442 nt
Filed under: uncultured bacterium
Lineage: Bacteria
Description: partial 16S ribosomal RNA
Rfam family: Bacterial small subunit ribosomal RNA
Source: RNAcentral